GACGGAGGGGGCAAGCGUUGUCCGGACUUACUGGGCGUAAAGGGCCCGUAGGCGGCCUGAUGCGUCGGUGCUGAAAGCGCCCCGCUUAACGGGGUGAGGCGUGCCGAUACGAUCAGGCUCGAGGCAGGCAGAGGGUGGCGGAAUUCCGGGUGUAGUGGUGAAAUGCGUAGAGAUCCGGAGGAACGCCUGUGGCGCAAGCGGCCACCUGGGCCUGACCUGACGCUGAGGGGCGAAAGCGUGGGGAGCAAACCGG
RNAcentral lists this ribosomal RNA (253 nucleotides) under uncultured bacterium. RNAcentral describes it as "partial 16S ribosomal RNA". It matches the Rfam family "Bacterial small subunit ribosomal RNA", at positions 524 to 776 of the family's 1533-position model. The record is from RNAcentral.